Molecule: ribosomal RNA, 720 nt
Filed under: Bacillus sp. Y678_2
Lineage: Bacteria; Bacillati; Bacillota; Bacilli; Caryophanales; Bacillaceae
Description: bacterial SSU rRNA
Rfam family: Bacterial small subunit ribosomal RNA
Source: RNAcentral
GUCGAGCGGACAGAAGGGAGCUUGCUCCCGGAUGUUAGCGGCGGACGGGUGAGUAACACGUGGGUAACCUGCCUGUAAGACUGGGAUAACUCCGGGAAACCGGAGCUAAUACCGGAUAGUUCCUUGAACCGCAUGGUUCAAGGAUGAAAGACGGUUUCGGCUGUCACUUACAGAUGGACCCGCGGCGCAUUAGCUAGUUGGUGAGGUAACGGCUCACCAAGGCGACGAUGCGUAGCCGACCUGAGAGGGUGAUCGGCCACACUGGGACUGAGACACGGCCCAGACUCCUACGGGAGGCAGCAGUAGGGAAUCUUCCGCAAUGGACGAAAGUCUGACGGAGCAACGCCGCGUGAGUGAUGAAGGUUUUCGGAUCGUAAAGCUCUGUUGUUAGGGAAGAACAAGUGCAAGAGUAACUGCUUGCACCUUGACGGUACCUAACCAGAAAGCCACGGCUAACUACGUGCCAGCAGCCGCGGUAAUACGUAGGUGGCAAGCGUUGUCCGGAAUUAUUGGGCGUAAAGGGCUCGCAGGCGGUUUCUUAAGUCUGAUGUGAAAGCCCCCGGCUCAACCGGGGAGGGUCAUUGGAAACUGGGAAACUUGAGUGCAGAAGAGGAGAGUGGAAUUCCACGUGUAGCGGUGAAAUGCGUAGAGAUGUGGAGGAACACCAGUGGCGAAGGCGACUCUCUGGUCUGUAACUGACGCUGAGGAGCGAAAGCGUGG